GCUAACAUUUUUCAAGACAAAUAUAAAGACAUGAACACAUACAAAGUGAAUAUGGAACAGAAACCUGAUGAAUCAAAUAAAGAAGGCACAUUUUUACCAUUGGCCCCAGAAGAAGAAUUAUUACUAGAACAAUUUAAAAUAAAACCUAAAGAGAUAAAAAAUGAAGAUUUAUCACCAGGGCAAUUAUUAGCCCAAGGGGAUUUCAAUUCAGGUGAGAAAAAUGAGGCCCGGAGAAGAUAUUCAGAUAGUUACCUUCCCAGCUGUGACUUCAUGGCUUCUGGCUCUAAAAUCAAGGCCAAAGAGACCCCAAUAAAAAAAGAAAAAGAAGAAGAUGAAAUAGUAGUGGAGGAAGAGAUUAUUAGCACUGGAAAACCUACAGAGGGAAAGGCUAAAAAGAGAUUUUCCUGGUUCCGCAAUAUCAAAGAACGCAAGCUGUGGAACUUCUUUCAUUUUAAAAAACAUGACAAACAAGUAAAGAAUGUGCACAAGUGGGAAGAAAUUGAUCAAGAGGUAUUGGAAGAUUACUCUCCUUAUUCUACUGAAGCCCCUAAAACAUUGCCAACAGAGUGGACAAAUAUUGAAGUUGGUAAUUGGUUAUGGAGCAUUGGAAUGGAGGAGUAUGUUGUAAAAUUUUAUUGUAAAGGAAUAAGUGGUGAAAAACUCCUUACACUGGACAAUCGCUCGCUAAAAGAAAUCGAAGUCAACAAGAAGAAAGACCGCCGGAAAAUACUUAAGGCUAUUAAGAAAGUUAGAGAUUUUUGGGAAAAAAAUCAUCAUUUCGUCUUAUUAUAGAAAUUGAUGGAAAGAAGACACAGAACCUGAAAGAUGGCAAAAAUGGAAAAUGCAAUUACUUUUGUUAUAUUGACUUUUCAUCAUUUUACUUCUGUUACUUUUGUUAUAUGAACUUUUAAGGGAUUUUACUUCCAUGUUACUUUUGUUAUAUGAACUUUUAAGGGAUUUUAGUUCCAUGUUACUUUUGUUAUAUGAACUUUUAAUCAUUUUAUUACUGUUACUUUUUUUAUUAUUAACUUUUAAUUAUUUCACUUUCAUGUUACAUUUGUUAUAUGAACUUUUAAGGGAUUUUACUUCCAUGUUAUUUUUGUUAUUAUUAACUUUUAAUCAUUUCACUUCCAUGUUACUUUUGUUAUAUGAACUUUUAAGUGAUUUUACUUCCAUGUUACUUUUGAUAUAUGAACUUUUAAGGGAUUUUACUUCCAUGUUACUUUUGUUAUAUGAACUUUUAAUCAUUUCACUUCCAUGUUACUUUUGUUAUAUAGAACUUUUAAGGGAUUUUACUUCCAUGUUAAUUUUGUUAUAUGAACUUUUAAUCAUUUUAUUACUGUUACUUUUGUUAUUAUUAACUUUUAAUCAUUUCACUUCUAUGUUUCUUUUGCUUUCUUAUUAACUUUUAAUUAUUUCAUUUUUAAGUAAGUAUUAUUUUGAUAGAGGAUAAUUUUUGCACAGGUUAAUAAUUGUUAAUAUCAUACAUAUAACAUAUGAAAAAAAUGGUUAUAAUAAGCACUUAUACUUUUUUAUAAGAACUAAUAUGGAAUUUCCCCCAUAUGAUCAUUUUGUAAGUAGCAAUCAUUCUAAUCUAACAAAAUUUUUAGUUAUUUUUCCUUUUCAACUUUUCAUUGCCACUGCCACCUGCUUUAAAGAAUCUGUCCCAAGUACUCUUUAUUAGUUCAUAAUCCCAGAGAACUCAAUAGGCUUUAGUCAAGCCCUCAUGAUGCUCUGUUACUUUUGUUUCAGAAUCUAUAUAUAAACAAAAGAAAUGCAUAUAAGAAUCUGUACAUAUUAUAGAUUUCCCUUAAGCAUACAUAUUGUUCAUGAGAUCUCCUUAUUACCUUACUUUUUUUUGUCAUAAUCCUCUCCAAAUCAUAUUUUAAGAGCUACAAAGUAUAGUUUUAUAUUCAUCACUCUCUUAUAGAAUUUAGUUUAAAUUUCUAUCAAAGUAUUUUAAAUAACAAUAAAAAUAACUUCAUAAAACUUUCCCCCUUAAAA
Long non-coding RNA from Monodelphis domestica (gray short-tailed opossum), 2004 nucleotides. NCBI's taxonomy places the organism in Eukaryota, Metazoa, Chordata, Mammalia, Didelphimorphia, Didelphidae. The record is from Ensembl.